AAAGGUAAGUCUCUUCUCCUGUCACUCUGAUAAGAAGGCCUUUCGCCAAGAAAUGAUGCCUAAAGCAAGAGGCAUCAGUAAUAAGCUGGAGAUGAUCAAUAAAGAAGUGAAAGACUUUUUAGCUUCUGAGAAAUAUGGUGUCACAACUGCUUCUUCCCCUCAGGUAGAUGUAGUUCAGGAGGUUGGCUUCUUGAUUGCUGACCUGAAAAUCACAGAAAAUGAGGAAAAGACAUCUAUAGAAAAUUUCUGGUCCAUAAUAAAAGAAAAGGCAGGUGUAAGUGAUGAAAUACCAAUAGGCCUGGAGGACAUAGGAAGGCACGUUGCAGAAAAGUGUCAAGGUCUGUCUUUAGCAGCAAAUUUACUUGGAGGUUUGUUACAAAACAAAAGAAGGGAUUUCUGGUUGUCAAUUUUAGAAAGCGGGGUAUUAGAUAAAGAAGAUGUAAUCUCUGCGAUACUCAUAUUGUGCUUUGAAAAUCUGCCAUCUCC
Molecule: long non-coding RNA, 486 nt
Filed under: Coffea arabica (coffee)
Lineage: Eukaryota; Viridiplantae; Streptophyta; Magnoliopsida; Gentianales; Rubiaceae
Description: long non-coding RNA (CARA_LNC002356)
Source: RNAcentral